UGUUCGAGCGUCAUUACAACCCUCAAGCUCUGCUUGGUAUUAGGCUUCACCUGCUAGGCGGGCCAUAAAAUCAGUGGCGGUGCCAUUCAGCUUCAAGCGUAGUAAUAUUUCUCGCUAUGGAUGACUGAGUAGGUACCUGCCAGCAACCCUAAUUUUUAAAGGUUGACCUCGGAUCAGGUAGGGAUACCCGCUGAACUUAA
Molecule: unclassified non-coding RNA, 200 nt
Filed under: soil metagenome
Description: partial contains internal transcribed spacer 2 and large subunit ribosomal RNA
Source: RNAcentral